CAACAUACACUGUAGGGGAGUCAGUUUACUCUGCUUUCUUCCCCCUAACGGACAACUUACGUGCACAAGAGAGGAAAAGGGGGAAGGGAGGGACUAAUUUGGAGCGGACGCACACGCGCUUCGGGCCGUUUCCGGCUGCUCUCCUCUCAGAGGUAUUUCAGGUGCCUCUUAGUAUUGACGGGUUCAGUAUCAAGCCCUGCCUCGGAUAGACUGCGCGGGAAGUCUGACACCGCCCUAAGCCAUAUGAGGUUGCCAGGGAACCGCGGACCAGGACUCAACACUCGCUUCGGCUCACUGGUCAGAACCACCAGAGGCUGUCUCCUAGACAGGUGAAGUCACUCAUCUCUUUGCAGCUGUGUGCUGAGACUUGGCAGCCAGUAUGUAAGAGACCCUUGGAGGAGAUAUGUCUUGUAUCAGAAUGAAAUUUACAACAUGAUGCCUUGACUACUGAUGCUUUGGGCUGACUCACUUUUUUCCUCAGUGACUAACUCCUUUAGUUACUCCUUCCCCUACCUAUGGAUUGUCUAUGUGGAUUACUGCUUUCUUGCCUCUGUCUUGCUGUGAAUUGUUUGAUUCCCGGGUCUGGCCUGAUGGAAUUUCAUCUUCCAUUCCUGGGUUCGAGGAAUUGGAUACUGCUUACCUUGCUGACCUGGAGGCUAGUCCUUGUGUCCUGAUUUUUGAUUCUUACCUGCCCUUACAUUACUGAUGACCUCCGAGUCUAAACAUCUUCCUGGUUAUACUCAACCAUCACAACCAGUCCUGCCCAAGAGACAAGAGCCUUUCCUGAAAAAUUGGUGUGGCUGACAUACACCAUGUCAGGUUAUCAUCAUGAGGACUCAUCUCAAGGGGUCUUCUACUGAUGAUCUCAGCUCUUGCCCUCUGCUUAUUCCCCUUUCCAGAUUUCUUUCAUCCUCCUAGGAUGUAAGGCUUUUCUGGCAAACAGGAGACCUGAGAACACUGAACCACUAAGUUCAAAGGACAGAGUGGGCAAGACGCAGAGUCAGAAGCGGGGAAGGAAACUGAUUUCCUCUCUACAAAAUCAUGGUCCUGGUGGUUAGAAGACAGCCACAGUUCCUAUAAAUAGUUAGCCACUGCUGUUUGCUAUUGGGAGCUUAUUCUGCUGGGAACACCUUGUAGAAUCCACUUCAGAAUUGACUGUAGCUGAUGUUCAAGGUCAGUCAUGGUUUGCCAUAUGGGGGGAGAACUCUCACUUCAAACGGUGUAGAUGAUUCAUUUCAGAAUGACCUAGUAGGUUCUCAAAGGCAUGUCUCCUGGGGCAGCAGAGAAGCCCAGGGUGGAAAGACAUAGCUACCUAGAGCAGCUGAAGUCAGGUGUUGUCAGGUUACAGAUGUGCAAUGCUGGUUACCACAGCGAUGGCUGGAGUUAAAAAUGUGGGUCCGCAGGGUGUGAGUUGGGGACAAGUGUUUGAUGCACACAGCCAGUGAGAGGCAGAGCUGGUGGUUCAGCCUUUCAGACUUCACUGUCCCCAGCUGCCAUAUCACCAUCUCCUGCACUUUAACAAAUACCUUUUUCAUAUGCACUGCAUUUCUUUUUUGCACUGAAAUUCUCCAUUUAAUUUUCAUUGCUUUUAGUAAAACUAUUUACAGCAGUGCCUCUCAGAAUUUAAUGUGCAUACAAAUCACCUGGGGAUCUUGGUAAAUGCAGAUUUUGACUCAGAACAUUGAGAUAUGGACUUCUAGUCUGCAUUUCUAAAAGGCUCCCAGGGGAUGUGGAUGCUGCUGGUCUGGAGACCACACUGUGAGGAGCAAGGUCAUAAGGUAAGAACCUAAAUGAAAAGGGAUGAUUAGGUUGUACAUUUGAAUGAAAUGAAUAAAAGACAGGUGUUGUGAUGCACCUUGAAGCUGCUGACUCAACUUCCAGCAGAGCCUUUGUCAAACUUACUUGCUUUCUUUGUGGCCUGAAGGUUUAUAAGACCCUCUAAAUGUAUUUUGAAUGAUGAUUUGAAUAAUACUGUUAUAUAAAACCUUCUCCCAAAGCAGUUCAAAGUGCUUUUUAUAAUGUUAGCCAUCUGGUCAUUGCUUUCUGAGGGUACUAAUCUCCUUCUAGGAAAACACUAAUAAUAUACUAGUAAUGUGAAAAAUCAAAUACAUACUCCCCACAGAACGUCAUUUUCUUGCUCUGCAAGUACAUUCUCAUUACAAACUGCAUUCCCUAAACCAAAAUAGCAAUAUUAUGAGGGUGCACUGGGCCUAUUGUAGUUUUGUCUCUACUUCCUAACGGGACAGAUAGGGAAUUUCAAAGUCCUGCAUCAUCUGCUAAGAAGUUUUGUUCUGGGGACGCUGUGUUUACUAUUGACUGAUUCAGUUUGAUUAGAUUUUCAUUCAUAGUAUCCGCAAUUUCAAAGAAGAAAUAAAUGAAGUAAUCUCAGAGAUCCUAUCAUACAUUUAUGUAGUUCUGUAAAGGAUGUGAUUAACUUUUGCAGUAUGGUUUAUGAAGAAGCACUUUGAAAGGAAAUACGUAAAAGCAUACUUCCAAGGUUUUCAGCUAAAUUGAGAUUUGAUGUUGUAAUAUGAUAGAGCAGAUAAGGCAUGGACUUGAAACAGAGCCUUAACAAAGCCAUCAUAGGGAUGAUGGUUUUUAAAAAUUACUUUGAUACUUUUUCUUCUCUGGGGCUUAUUACGUGUUCACUUAGUGUUUAAUAUGCAUCUAUUGAGCAUCCAUGGUGAGCACUGACCUAUCCCUAGGCUUGCAGUGGGAGACAAAAUAGUUACCAACCUCAUGGAAGUUACACUUGAGGGGAAGGCAGGCAUAAAACAAAUAGCUACACAAAUACAUAUAUGAUUACUCACUGUGGUAAGUGCUACGAAAGGCAGUCCCUGGGUAGAGUCAUAAGGGCAAAAGAGAGUUCAUCACAUUUGAAGAAUUAAAAAAGCCAAGUGCUGCUAGAGCAUAGUCAAUGAAAGUAGCAGUGAAUACUUACAUAAUGUGUGCAAGGUACCAGGCAUGGUGCAGAAGCCUUACAGGCCAUAACACAUUAAGGCCUUACUACUACCUUAUAAAGUCAGUACCACUCUCCUCAUUUCCUAUAUCAGAGGCACAGAGAGGGUUAAGCGAGUUGCCCAGUGUUUCAUGGGUGGAAUGUUUGAACCCAGAAGGUCUUCAUCACUGUCCAGCAUUGCCUCAGUGCAGAGAAAAGGGGGCAGGGCCCAGCUUGGCAGCUUGAUGUUCCCCUCUCUUAAUAUAAUGUGCAGCUUCAACGUUUUAAUCACCAUGUGAAAGAACAGGAGGUUAACUGACUUAUUGAAAUACAAAUGACAGUGACAUAAAAUAAUAAUGGUUUACUAUAUCAUAAGAUAACUUAUAGCCCCGGUAAGUAAACUCUAAAAAUGCAUAGCCAUCUUAUCAUUUCUAAAAAAUUCUCCAUGAGGGGUGACCUGAAGAGGCAAAUAGCCAUAAACUAUAUUCACAUCUCGGCAUGGGUGAUUCAGGUCUUCAUUUUCUGACUAUGAUAUUAAUAUGCCCUUUCUGUAAUUCAUGGAGGAUAUAUUAACUAAUAAUCCAAGGAGGAGACCUAUAUCUCCUUUGUAUUUUCUAUGGCAGGACAAUGCAGCAAGAGUGUAGAUGUCAUGGUAGGAUAUGAAAAAAAUGGAAGUUUAUAUGAUUACUUUUUGUCAUUCUGAGUAGAUCAGCUUUGCUAUGGGUUUAAGUUUUAAAUAAUGAAUCACUAUAAACUUAAAAACACUUACUAAAAUUUUCAUUUAAUUUUCUAUUUAUUUCAUAUACAUUUCCCAAUGUGGAAACCAAGCCCUGGGAUAUAUUAUUGCUGUCAUAGUUCUGUAAGUGACAACGCAGUGGAAGAGAACACAGCAGACACCAGGCCGCUUCUUAUCAUACCAAGUCAUCCAGAAGGCUCCAAGCAGUUGGAGUGUCUGAUGAGAAACUUGGAAAAGGAUAGAUAAGGCAUUCUUAAGUCAUAGUCUAUGCUUUUCAGGGCUUUGCUUUUUGUGGCUGAGUUUUAACAAAUGUCAUGGUUCAUUGUGGCAGGAAGAAAGGAAAAAACAUAAGUAAAUCACAAGCCGGGUAAUAUGUCUUCGAGAAGCUAAAAGUUGCCCAUUUGGAGUUUUGAUUAUCAAAAAGUGAUGGGAGUCUUGGAGUAAUGUCACUUGAAUUUUCCCCUUUCAGGAUGGGAAACAAGGCUGAGGCAUCAAAUGAAUUUCCUGAGGUCAUGUAUCAAGCUGGUAGCAGCAGAGCAAAAGCUAGAGCUCAGCACUCCCGACUCAGGCUGUGCACUUGGGGCAGGCAUGUGUAUGAGACAUUGUGCUUUAGGGUUUCCUCUGACAAGGGCAUGGAAUUAGAAAUACAGUAUGAAUUUUUUAAGGAGUACAUACACCCAGAGAACACAGAUAUUCCAAAACUUGUGUACCUGGUUUAUGAAGCAAAGAUAAGGUAUGAUACUGGGAUAACAUAUGAACAAUACCCUACUGUUGGUCUUAAAAAUAAUAGAACAUCUUAACCUUGAUGACACCCAUGGUCCUUUUCUUUGACCUAACCAGUCUUUCUAAAGACUAAAACACCUUACAAAUAGUUUUCACAUGUGAAAAAUAUUAGGGUCAUUUCAUAAAUUCAUUAUGUCCUGAUUUACUCUUGGCCAUUAGAUGUCUCCUCUUUCCUGUGAGAACCCAGAAUGAUCCUCUACUGGUGUACUCCUGUGUGAAGCCCACUCAGGUCCCCGCUAGAGCUAUGACAAACAAGAGACUGAGGUAGCAAGGUUUGUGCAGGAUUCAGGGAAUAAGGGUAUCUGCUUUUUAUUAUUGCGUUGAGUCUGAAAUCAUAAGCAAUGUCAGCGAUAAAAUCUUUUCCUUGAUGAGGUUGACUGCAAUGCUCCCUCCACCUGUGUGUACUACUGCUCUGGGGAACUAUGAACAAACUAAAUCCAAGGGCAGGGAAGGGGGGCGGAAUUUUCGCCUGGAUAAUAACAUUUGCUUCUCUUCUAAUCUUCAGACCUUCAUGCAGAAUAUCCAUGAAAAUCAAGUAAACAGUGAAUUGUACUAAUAUGAGAAAUAAUUAAGAUUGUCUGCUACAAG
This is a long non-coding RNA of Felis catus (domestic cat), 5045 nucleotides long. RefSeq lists it as uncharacterized. The transcript is spliced from 5 exons. The record is from RefSeq and is a predicted model, not a curated record. NCBI's taxonomy places the organism in Eukaryota, Metazoa, Chordata, Mammalia, Carnivora, Felidae.